Pelobates cultripes (western spadefoot toad) is the source of this 173-nucleotide non-coding RNA. Lineage: Eukaryota; Metazoa; Chordata; Amphibia; Anura; Pelobatidae. The record is from the annotation of a GenBank genome assembly.
CAGCAGACACAUUCCAGCCAAUCAGCAGCAGACCCUCCCUCCCAGACCCUCCCACCUCCUGGACAGCAUCCAUUUUACAUUCAUUGUGAAGCUGCAUUCUUAGUGAGCUGUCCAGGAGGUGGAAGGGUCUGGGAGGGAGGGUCUGCUGCUGAUUGGCUGGAAUGUGUCUGCUG